RNAcentral lists this transfer RNA (72 nucleotides) under Camelus bactrianus (Bactrian camel). It matches the Rfam family "tRNA". From Rfam's summary of the family: Transfer RNA (tRNA) molecules are approximately 80 nucleotides in length. Their secondary structure includes four short double-helical elements and three loops (D, anti-codon, and T loops). RNAcentral also lists the same sequence under 2 other names. Lineage: Eukaryota; Metazoa; Chordata; Mammalia; Artiodactyla; Camelidae. The record is from Rfam by way of RNAcentral.
GACGGUACGGCUCAGUGGUAGAGUGGUUGCUUAGCAUGUAUGAGGUCCUGGGUCCGAUCCCCAGUACCUCCA